This 72-nucleotide transfer RNA is filed under the name Lysinibacillus boronitolerans. Its description in RNAcentral is "tRNA-Met". It matches the Rfam family "tRNA". From Rfam's summary of the family: Transfer RNA (tRNA) molecules are approximately 80 nucleotides in length. Their secondary structure includes four short double-helical elements and three loops (D, anti-codon, and T loops). Further hydrogen bonds mediate the characteristic L-shaped molecular structure. tRNAs have two regions of fundamental functional importance: the anti-codon, which is responsible for specific mRNA codon recognition, and the 3' end, to which the tRNAs corresponding amino acid is attached (by aminoacyl-tRNA synthetases). tRNAs cope with the degeneracy of the genetic code in two manners: having more than one tRNA (with a specific anti-codon) for a particular amino acid; and 'wobble' base-pairing, i.e. permitting non-standard base-pairing at the 3rd anti-codon position. Lineage: Bacteria; Bacillati; Bacillota; Bacilli; Caryophanales; Bacillaceae. The record is from RNAcentral.
GGCGGCGUAGCUCAGCUGGCUAGAGCGUACGGUUCAUACCCGUAAGGUCGGGGGUUCGAUCCUCUGCCGCCA